Camellia sinensis is the source of this 681-nucleotide long non-coding RNA. RefSeq lists it as uncharacterized. The record is from RefSeq and is a predicted model, not a curated record. Lineage: Eukaryota; Viridiplantae; Streptophyta; Magnoliopsida; Ericales; Theaceae.
GAAAAUUAUUCGAGGGCUCGAAAUCGUUGGCUCGAAUGGCCCGAAAACGUGGGCUCACGCACCUGUCUCGCCUAUCUCAGCCCUGUCUUCAUUUUUCUUUUUCUCAUACCCAAACUAUCUCGCCCGAAGUCCUCAUUUUUGUUCCCAUACCCAAACUCUAAACUUUGAAACUCUCUAUUGCUCUGUUUGUCAUCGUUCUGAAGAAUCAUUCGAGUCUAUCUCCUUCAAAACGACGCCGGAAAGAAGUUGUUCUGUCACCUCCUCUCUCCUUCCAAUCUCAGGUAAGAGUAACAAAGAACACUGCAAUUACUUCAAGUUUGCGGACGAUGAUGAUGGGGACGUUACCUCGACAAUCCAUUCCAAUAGUGGACCUCGUAAAGCUAUCCGAACAGAAGAAUUGAAUGAUGUCAGGGCAAGACUUUUUGAGAUGGAAAAUGAAAUACAUGACCAUGGUAGAAGGCUUCAAAUGAUGGACAACAAAUUCAACACUAUGAUCUAUGUGACUGUAGUGUGUAUCAUUUUGUACUUUAUUAUGUAAGAAUUGAAAUGCUUGAUUGUUAGUUUUUGGGAUAUUUGAUGAAUGUAAUUAUGGAUGUAAUGGACAUGUUGAAUGUAGUGUAUGAAUGGAUGAUGUAAUGGACAUGUUAACUUUAUUAUGGAUGUAAUUUUAUUAUAGAUGAG